GAGUUUGUUGCCAAAUGAAGAAGGCUCACGAGACACGCAUGGGGUCAGCCACAUGCUAUCCUUCCUUAUUCUCUCUCCGGGAGUGACUCGUGUCCUUUGCCGGAGACACUCACUGCCACUUCAACGCCGGCGUCGAACCCUUUGCAAAUCUCAACAAAAUCCUCAACCUUCUAAAGUGAUACCCUUUUGCUUAGAACAAUGAAAGCAGCGAAAGGGAACCAGGAAGAGGAAGAGUACGAGGAGGAAGACUUCGGUUCUUCUAAGAAACAGGGUCCUUCUUCUGCGCCUAAUACCAACAAAGAUGCAAAAGCUAUUGACAAGGCUAGUGCAAUAAGAUCGAAACAUUCUGUGACUGAGCAGCGAAGAAGGAGCAAGAUAAAUGAGAGAUUCCAGAUAUUGAGGGAUCUCAUACCUCAUAGUGAUCAAAAGAGGGACACGGCAUCAUUUUUAUUAGAGGUGAUUGAGUAUGUUCAAUACUUACAGGAGAAGGUGCAAAAAUAUGAAGGCUCAUAUCAAGGUUGGGGUCAAGAGCCCUCGAAGUUGAUGCCAUGGAGAAAUAGUCAUUGGCGUGUCCAAAGCUUUGUUGGUCAACCUCCAGCUAUAAAGAAUGGUUCAGGUCCAGUUUCACCUUUUCCUGGAAAGUUUGAGGAAAGCAAUGUUAGUAUCACUCCAACCAUGCUUGGUGGCACUCAGAAUACAAUAGAUCCUGAUCAGAGCAGGGAUAUUGUCAACAAAACAGCAGAGAGACAACCUGAUUUAGCAAGCAAAGGAAUAUCUCUGCCCUUGGCUAUGCUUUCAAAUAUGUCUGUUCCUGUCAGAAGUGAUGGUGCACUUGCACAUCCUCUUCAAGGAACUGUUUCUGAUGCACAAUCAACUGAAUGCCCAACAACUAGUGAACCACAGAACCCGCAGGACGAACUCACAGUUGAAGGAGGGACAAUUAGCAUCUCAAGUGUUUACUCCCAAGGGUUGCGCAUCACUAAUUCAUGGUAUGCAUCAACAAAAUGUUGAACAGCUAGGGAGCACUUACUUUCUCUCUCUCUCUUUUCCCCUGUUUUUAAAAUGUCAAAUGUGGUUGAUGUGCUGAAACCAUCAGUUAUUUCAGGUUGUUGAAUAAUUUAUCUCAAGCAUUACAAAGUGCUGGUUUAGAUCUGUCACAGGCUAGUAUAUCAGUUCAGAUUAAUCUAGGGAAACGGGCAAACAAAGGACCAAGUUGUGGGACCUCUUCUCCCAAGAAUCAUGAUAACCUUCCUUCAAGCAAUCAAACCAUUGCACAUUUUAGAGAUGCAUGCAGUGAAGACUCAGAUCAAGCACAAAAGCGAAUGAAAACAUACAAGUGACUUAUAUGGCCUUUUUCAUGGACAUUCACUUGGCAUCCAGAUUUCUCAUGACUUGUUCCUGGGGCACCAUAUUCCUUGUGGUUACUGUACAUCCUUUCCCAUUUGUUUGACCUUUGAUUGUCAUUUUAAAACUAUAAGAACUUUGUAACACAUGCAUUAUUCGUGGAGAUGUUGAGGCUUCUGCAGUAGUGGGCAUGUAAUCUAUUUUGCUUGUAUGAUACAUAAUAUAAUUUAGUAUUAUUUAGCUUUUGAUU
This is an RNA transcript of Abrus precatorius (Indian licorice), 1594 nucleotides long. It is a transcript of the gene named transcription factor BIM2, with no coding region annotated. Lineage: Eukaryota; Viridiplantae; Streptophyta; Magnoliopsida; Fabales; Fabaceae. The transcript is spliced from 9 exons. The record is from RefSeq and is a predicted model, not a curated record.